UGUUACUUGAACAAGCAAAUAGCACCAGCGAUCGUUCUCUUCAUGCAGCCUGGGAGCAGAAGAUGCAAGAUAUCCAGAAUACAAUCAAUUCUCUUGUCAGACCUUUUCCUGAUGAUUCAUCUUCACCUGCCCUUUCGACAAGUAUGUCCGGUUCAAGAAGCCAGAAAUUAACAAGAAGCAGGAGCUGUAGAGCUAAUUUUAUUGUGGGCUCAUUUCCACCCGAUUUUGAGACAGUUGAAGAUAGCGAGACCACCCCGCCUAAUGUGCUAGAGAAGGAUUUUCCUGGAAGACCUGAAAAUUUCCAGCGGAAGCAUUGGAAACUUCCUCUAUUGAUUUAUGGAGCAAACAGACCUAAAUUAUCCAGAAACAAUUCACAGUGGAAGACCUGAAAAUUUCCAGCGGAAGCACUGGAAACUUCCUCUAUUGAUUUAUGGAGCAAACAGACCUAAAUUAUCCAGAAACAAUUCACAGUCUUCAAUUGGUAGUGCUUUUGUAGAUGGGAGUAAUGCUCCUGGAGAUGAGGAUAUCCCAAGUGUUGACAAUUUUGUGGCAGGUUUGAAGGAGAUGGCUAAGCUUGAAUAUGAU
RNAcentral lists this long non-coding RNA (585 nucleotides) under Nicotiana benthamiana. RNAcentral's name for it is "long non-coding RNA (NBEN_LNC037846)". Lineage: Eukaryota; Viridiplantae; Streptophyta; Magnoliopsida; Solanales; Solanaceae. The record is from RNAcentral.